CACGUAGGCGGACUGGAAAGUCAGGGGUGAAAUCCCGGGGCUCAACCCCGGAAUUGCAUUUGAAACUGUAAUACUUGAGUACUGGAGAGGUAAGUGGAAUUCCUAGUGUAGCGGUGAAAUGCGUAGAUAUUAGGAGGAACACCAGUGGCGAAGGCGACUUACUGGACAGAUACUGACGCUGAGGCGCGAAAGCGUGGGGAGCAAACAGGAUUAGAUACCCCAGUA
RNAcentral lists this ribosomal RNA (225 nucleotides) under uncultured Alkalibacter sp. RNAcentral describes it as "partial 16S ribosomal RNA". It matches the Rfam family "Bacterial small subunit ribosomal RNA", at positions 568 to 792 of the family's 1533-position model. Lineage: Bacteria; Bacillati; Bacillota; Clostridia; Eubacteriales; Eubacteriaceae. The record is from RNAcentral.